UGCAGUCGAGCGAGUCUGCCUUGAGAUCGGAGUGCUUGCACUCUGNNNAACAAGAUACAGGCUAGCGGCGGACGGGUGAGUAACACGUGGGUAACCUGCCCAAGAGAUCGGGAUAACACCUGGAAACAGAUGCUAAUACCGGAUAACAACAGAUGAUGCCUAUCAACUGUUUAAAAAAUGGUUCUGCUAUCACUCUUGGAUGGACCUGCGGUGCAUUAGCUAGUUGGUAGGGUAACGGCCUACCAAGGCGAUGAUGCAUAGCCGAGUUGAGAGACUGAUCGGCCACAUUGGGACUGAGACACGGCCCAAACUCCUACGGGAGGCAGCAGUAGGGAAUCUUCCACAAUGGACGCAAGUCUGAUGGAGCAACGCCGCGUGAGUGAAGAAGGGUUUCGGCUCGUAAAGCUCUGUUGUUGGUGAAGAAGGACAGGGGUAGUAACUGACCUUUGUUUGACGGUAAUCAAUUAGAAAGUCACGGCUAACUACGUGCCAGCAGCCGCGGUAAUACGUAGGUGGCAAGCGUUGUCCGGAUUUAUUGGGCGUAAAGCGAGUGCAGGCGGCUCGAUAAGUCUGAUGUGAAAGCCUUCGGCUCAACCGGAGAAUUGCAUCAGAAACUGU
This 618-nucleotide ribosomal RNA is filed under the name uncultured bacterium. Its description in RNAcentral is "bacterial SSU rRNA". It matches the Rfam family "Bacterial small subunit ribosomal RNA", at positions 56 to 636 of the family's 1533-position model. The record is from RNAcentral.